GGGAAAGCCUAACUAAGAAUGAAGCCAACACAAAGGAAAUGGACCAAGAGAUGAAGAGAGAGUCCUGAUCUUAUUGUUUGAGCCUCUGGAUCCAUCCAUACCUGAAGCUGGUACUACCUGGGACCUUUGCAAUCAGAUGACAGACUCCCUGAGGGCAGGGCGCGUUGCUCUUGUGGCUCAGCAUUAUAUUCCGAGCGGUUAGCAGAGCGCCUGGAAGAUUAGUCCUGAGCUAUCUACUGCCAAUCCUCCUCUCUUUGCUGAGGAAGACUGGCCCGGAGCUAACAUCCGUGCCCAUCUUCC
RNAcentral lists this long non-coding RNA (300 nucleotides) under Equus asinus (donkey). RNAcentral describes it as "lncRNA (ENSEASG00005029690.1)". Lineage: Eukaryota; Metazoa; Chordata; Mammalia; Perissodactyla; Equidae. The record is from RNAcentral.